GCAUGGCUAGCUCAGUUGGUAGAGCAUCAGACUUUUAAUCUGAGGGUCCAGGGUUCAAGUCUCUGGUCAGGCA
Chelonia mydas (Green sea turtle) is the source of this 73-nucleotide non-coding RNA. Lineage: Eukaryota; Metazoa; Chordata; Testudines; Cheloniidae. The record is from Rfam.